This 69-nucleotide transfer RNA is filed under the name Dendropsophus ruschii. Its description in RNAcentral is "tRNA-Val". It matches the Rfam family "tRNA". From Rfam's summary of the family: Transfer RNA (tRNA) molecules are approximately 80 nucleotides in length. Their secondary structure includes four short double-helical elements and three loops (D, anti-codon, and T loops). Lineage: Eukaryota; Metazoa; Chordata; Amphibia; Anura; Hylidae. The record is from RNAcentral.
CAAAAUGUAGCUUAACUAAAGCAUCCCGCUUACACCGAGAAAAUGCCUGUGAAACCCAGCCCAUCUUGA